This 1234-nucleotide ribosomal RNA is filed under the name metagenome. Its description in RNAcentral is "bacterial LSU rRNA". It matches the Rfam family "Bacterial large subunit ribosomal RNA", at positions 1564 to 2808 of the family's 2925-position model. The record is from RNAcentral.
UGAAUACGAGAUGCUACGGCGUCGAAGCAGUCUAUGUCAUACUUCCAAGAAAAGCUCGCACUGUCAUAAACAAAUAAUGCCUGUACCAUAACCGACACAGGUGGGUAGGUAGAGUAUACUAAGGGGCGCGAGAUAACUCUCUCUAAGGAACUCGGCAAAAUGACUCCGUAACUUCGGGAGAAGGAGUGCCUUAUUUAUAAGGUUGCAAUAACAAGAUCCAAGCAACUGUUUAUCAAAAACACAGGUCUCCGCUAAGUCGUAAGACGAUGUAUGGGGGCUGACGCCUGCCCAGUGCCAGAAGGUUUAAGAAGUUGGUUAGCAUUCGCGAAGCUGAUAACUGAAGCCCUGGUGAACGGCGGCCGUAACAAUAACGGUCCUAAGGUAGCGAAAUUCCUUGUCGGGUAGGUUCCGACCCGCACGAAAGGCGUAAUGAUUUGGAUACUGUCUCGGAGAGGGGCUCGGUGAAAUAGACUUGUCUGUGAAGAUGCGGACUACCUGCACCAGGACAGAAAGACCCUAUGAAGCUUUACUGUAACUUGAGAUUGAAAUUGGACUUUACUUGCGCAGUAUAGGUGGGAGGCGUUGAUAAUAUUCUUGCGGGAUUAUUUGAGCCAUCAGUGAGAUACCACUCUUGUAAUGUUAGAUUUCUAACUUUGUAUCAUUAUCUGGUCAAAGGACAGUUUCAGGCGGGCAGUUUGACUGGGGCGGUCGCCUCCUAAACGGUAACGGAGGCGCACAAAGGUUUCCUCUGAACGGGUAGAAAUCGUAUCUAGAGUGUAAAGGCAUAAGGAAGCUUGACUGUGAGACCUACAAGUCGAGCAGGGACGAAAGUCGGUCUUAGUGAUCUGACGGUGCUGAGUGGAAAGGCCGUCACUCAACGGAUAAAAGUUACUCUAGGAUAACAGGCUGAUCUCCCCCAAGAGUUCACAUCGACGGGGAGGUUUGGCACCUCGAUGUCGGCUCAUCGCAUCCUGGGGCGGUAGUACGUCCCAAGGGUUGGGCUGUUCGCCCAUGAAAGCGGUACGCGAGCUGGGUUCAGAACGUCGUGAGACAGUUCGGUCCAUAUCCGGUGUAGGCGUUAGAAUAUUGAGAGGAGCCUUCUUUAGUACGAGAGGACCGAGAAGGACAUACCUCUGGUGUACCUGUUACCGUGCCAACGGUAAACGCUGGGUAGCUAUGUAUGGAGUGGAUAACCGCUGAAAGCAUCUAAGUGGGAAGCCCACCUCAAGAUAAG